Molecule: long non-coding RNA, 597 nt
Organism: Chenopodium quinoa (quinoa)
Lineage: Eukaryota; Viridiplantae; Streptophyta; Magnoliopsida; Caryophyllales; Amaranthaceae
Exons: 3
Source: RefSeq, a predicted model, not a curated record
AAGAGCAAGUUGAUGUUGCUUCUGAUUCUUUUAUGAUGGACUUUGAUAACUUCUCUUCUAGCAAAUCAUAUGUUCCUGCUAAAUCUGACUUGCAAAUCUACUUGGAAGAGCCAUUGAUUCCUCGUGCAACCAACAUUAAUAUUCUAUAUCAUUGGAAAACAAAUGUUGUGAGGUAUCCAAUUCUUUCAAAGAUGGCAAGGGACAUCCUUGCAAUCCCUAUUUCAACAGUAGCUUCAGAAAAUCUGCCUUGGUGGUCGAGUUUUGGACUGCUAUAGAAGCUCUUUGAAACCAAACACAGCAGAAGCUAUCAUUUGCCUCAAAGAUUGGACUUUUGGUGAAGCUAAUAUGGAUCCGCAAUUGCAAGAUUUAUGUGGAAAAAUCAUGGCCAUGAAAGUCAACGAUGAUGUGGGGGAUACUCCCAGUCCCAGCCCUCCCAAAGUGCACCAGAAAGUCCUGCUGUCAUGGAGAGUCAAACCUGAUUAUGUUGUUAAUUUCUUCUAAAAUUAGUUGAUGAAACUGUUACUGUUAUUUUGGACAUGUAUUUGGUUUUCUAGUUGAACUUUUAUUUGCCUACUUGGAAGUAUUUUGGACAUGUAA